This 475-nucleotide ribosomal RNA is filed under the name uncultured organism. Its description in RNAcentral is "partial 16S ribosomal RNA". It matches the Rfam family "Bacterial small subunit ribosomal RNA", at positions 334 to 800 of the family's 1533-position model. The record is from RNAcentral.
CACUCCUACGGGAGGCAGCAGUGGGGAAUUUUGGACAAUGGGCGCAAGCCUGAUCCAGCCAUGCCGCGUGCGGGAAGAAGGCCUUCGGGUUGUAAACCGCUUUUGUCAGGGAAGAAAAGGUUCUGGCUAAUACCUGGGACUCAUGACGGUACCUGAAGAAUAAGCACCGGCUAACUACGUGCCAGCAGCCGCGGUAAUACGUAGGGUGCAAGCGUUAAUCGGAAUUACUGGGCGUAAAGCGUGCGCAGGCGGUUAUGCAAGACAGAGGUGAAAUCCCCGGGCUCAACCUGGGAACUGCCUUUGUGACUGCAUGGCUAGAGUACGGUAGAGGGGGAUGGAAUUCCGCGUGUAGCAGUGAAAUGCGUAGAUAUGCGGAGGAACACCGAUGGCGAAGGCAAUCCCCUGGACCUGUACUGACGCUCAUGCACGAAAGCGUGGGGAGCAAACAGGAUUAGAAACCCCGGUAGUCCCAUGA